GACGAACGCUGGCGGCGUGCUUAACACAUGCAAGUCGAGCGGGGAUGUUCGGAGUGCUUGCACACUGAACAUUCCAGCGGCGGACGGGUGAGUAACGCGUGAACAAUCUGUCCCAUACAGGGGGAUAACAGAUGGAAACAUCUGCUAAUACCGCAUAAGACCACGAUGCCACAUGGCGAUGGGGUAAAAGGAGCAAUCCGGUAUGGGGUGAGUUCGCGUCCGAUUAGCUAGUUGGUGAGGUAACGGCCCACCAAGGCGACGAUCGGUAGCCGACCUGAGAGGGUGAUCGGCCACACUGGAACUGAGAGACGGUCCAGACUCCUACGGGAGGCAGCAGUGGGGAAUAUUGGGCAAUGGGCGAAAGCCUGACCCAGCAACGCCGACGUGAGGGAAGAAGGUUUUCGGAUUGUAAACCUCUGUCC
This 422-nucleotide ribosomal RNA is filed under the name uncultured bacterium. Its description in RNAcentral is "bacterial SSU rRNA". It matches the Rfam family "Bacterial small subunit ribosomal RNA", at positions 28 to 438 of the family's 1533-position model. The record is from RNAcentral.